GGGCCCGCACAAGCGGUGGAGCAUGUGGUUUAAUUCGAUGCAACGCGAAGAACCUUACCAGGGUUUGACAUCCUGCGAAUCUCUUGGAAACAGGAGAGUGCCUUCGGGAACGCAGUGACAGGUGGUGCAUGGCUGUCGUCAGCUCGUGUCGUGAGAUGUUAGUUAAGUCCUGUAACGAGCGCAACCCCUAUCCUUAGUUGCCAUCGGGUAAAGCCGGGGACUCUAGGAGGACUGCCCGCGCAAGCGGAGAGGAAGGCGGGACGAUGUCAGGUCAUCAUGGCCCUUACGCCCAGGGCGACACACGUGCUACAAUGGCGCAUACAGAGGGUCGCGAAGCAGCAAUGCC
This 346-nucleotide ribosomal RNA is filed under the name uncultured bacterium. RNAcentral describes it as "bacterial SSU rRNA". It matches the Rfam family "Bacterial small subunit ribosomal RNA", at positions 917 to 1264 of the family's 1533-position model. The record is from RNAcentral.